GAAAGUAUAGCUCAGGUGGUAGAGCGCAUGCUUAACAUGCAUGAGGUCCUGGGUUCAAUCCCCAGUACCUCCU
Molecule: transfer RNA, 73 nt
Filed under: Camelus bactrianus (Bactrian camel)
Lineage: Eukaryota; Metazoa; Chordata; Mammalia; Artiodactyla; Camelidae
Also listed under: 2 other names
Rfam family: tRNA
About the family: Transfer RNA (tRNA) molecules are approximately 80 nucleotides in length. Their secondary structure includes four short double-helical elements and three loops (D, anti-codon, and T loops). Further hydrogen bonds mediate the characteristic L-shaped molecular structure. tRNAs have two regions of fundamental functional importance: the anti-codon, which is responsible for specific mRNA codon recognition, and the 3' end, to which the tRNAs corresponding amino acid is attached (by aminoacyl-tRNA synthetases). tRNAs cope with the degeneracy of the genetic code in two manners: having more than one tRNA (with a specific anti-codon) for a particular amino acid; and 'wobble' base-pairing, i.e. permitting non-standard base-pairing at the 3rd anti-codon position.
Source: Rfam by way of RNAcentral